Molecule: ribosomal RNA, 505 nt
Filed under: Proteus mirabilis
Lineage: Bacteria; Pseudomonadati; Pseudomonadota; Gammaproteobacteria; Enterobacterales; Morganellaceae
Description: partial 23S ribosomal RNA
Rfam family: Bacterial large subunit ribosomal RNA
Source: RNAcentral
UAAGCCUGCGAAGGUGUACUGUGAGGUAUGCUGGAGGUAUCAGAAGUGCGAAUGCUGACAUAAGUAACGAUAAUGCGGGUGAAAAACCCGCACGCCGGAAGACCAAGGGUUCCUGUCCAACGUUAAUCGGGGCAGGGUGAGUCGACCCCUAAGGCGAGGCUGAAAAGCGUAGUCGAUGGGAAACGGGUUAAUAUUCCCGUACUGGUGGUAACUGCGAUGGGGGAACGGAGAAGGCUAGGUUGUCCGGGCGACGGUCGUCCCGGUUCAAGCAGGUAGGCAGAGUGAUUAGGCAAAUCCGGUCACUUAAUGCUGAGAUGUGAUGACGAACCACCAAGGUGGUGAAGCAAUUGAUGCCCCGCUUCCAGGAAAAGCCUCUAAGCUUCAGGUUACCAACAAUCGUACCCCAAACCGACACAGGUGGUCAGGUAGAGAAUACUCAGGCGCUUGAGAGAACUCGGGUGAAGGAACUAGGCAAAAUGGUGCCGUAACUUCGGGAGAAGGCACG